Molecule: long non-coding RNA, 1933 nt
Organism: Cyprinus carpio carpio
Lineage: Eukaryota; Metazoa; Chordata; Actinopteri; Cypriniformes; Cyprinidae
Source: Ensembl
AUAUAUAUAUAUAUAUAUAUAUAUAUAUGUAUUUUUAAUGCAGAAUAUAUGUUAUAUAAAUAUAUGAAAUGUAGAAUAUAUAAAAAAGUGUUCGUGGCUCGGGUGCCCCCCAAAGAUCCCUCAGUGCAACAGCAUUCAGCAGUGAGUUAAACAAUGCUCAAUGUCAUGUGCAAUAGCAGUAAGCAGUUUUAAGUGUUUUCUGGUCAUAAUGCUGCAUAAUGUAUUUUUAUCAGAGGCUGGUUGAUGUUAAUAAAUUGCUAUAAUUAUGAUCGAUUAAUCAAUGAUUAGUGCAAUGCAAUCAAUCAUUUAUUUAUUUAUUCAUUUAUUUGUGACGAUGUCAUUGUAUGUCGGGAUCCCAAGGUCCACUGCGAUUUUCCACUCAACAAGAACAAAAGUUAAUCAAAAGAGAUGGGAACAAUCCUUAUCGACUUCCCACGACUCUCUAACCAUUAGGGUUGUGAGUUCGAGUCUCCGGCCGGCAGGAAUUGUGGGUGGGGGGAGUGCAUGUACAGUUCUCUCUCCACCUUCAAUACCAUGACUUAGGUGCCCUUGAGCAAGGCAUCGAACCCCCAACUGCUCCCCGGGUGCAGCAUAAAAAAAUGGCUGCCCACUGCUCCGGGUGUGUGUUCACAGUGUGUGUGUGUGUUCACUGCUCUGUGUGUGUGCACUUCAGAUGGGUUAAAUGCAGAGCACAAAUUCUGAGUAUGGGUCACCAUACUUGGCUGAAUGUCACGUCACUCACUCACUUAAAUUUACGGAACAAAAUCUGUUGAAUCAGAUCAAGAAGUUGUGUUUAGAACCUUUAGAAAUGCAAGGCAGCAAUUUCGGUAGCAAAUUUAGCUAAUUAACUCCAAGUGUAUUUAUUUAUUUAUUGCCACAUAUAAUCAUGCAGGUACAAUCAUAGGACAAUGUAUGGUUUUGUUAUGAUGUGUUUUCAGUUACCCAUAUUACAGUAGCUCACAACAAUUUAGCCAAUAUAUAAAAGUUCAGAUGAAGAACAGUGUUGCCUGUUGGUGUGUUUUCCAGCCUAGUAAUUGUUGAAAAUCCACACAAAAUUAGAUAAUAAACACAGAAAUCUUAUUCAUAAUUCAUAACUGAUUCAUAAGUAUUUCAUUAUUUUACAAAAGCGCAAUGUUUUGUUGUUAUAGUGAGUGUACACAAAUAAACGUAGAAGCAUUACAGAUUCGAAAGAUAUAUUCCUCUUAUCUGUAUAAGAGGAAUAUAUACAGAUAAGAGGAAUGUUUUAACAAGAUGGCGGCGCGUCCACACGCAGCGGCUUCUCUCUGUCCCGACAGAACGGUGUUUUCGUGUUUUUUGUCCUGUGAGUCGCAGUGUUUUUGUACGUCAUCAUCGCGUCUAUCUGUCUUUAAGCGCGCAUACAGUCGUGAGUUUCUGCUGGAUGUUGGCAGAGCCGCAUUUUUAGAGUUAAACUCCGCGCACGCGGAACAGCUACGGGCCCUCGGACUGCUCCGGAGGCCUACAUCAUCACCGACCCCCACUACUGCAUCUCGCCCACAGCGGAGGCGCCACAAGCGGCGUGAGAGGAAGCAGAAGAGGGGUAAGCGUGGAGGUAUCCGGGCUAGGCUAACGGCUAACCCACACAAGCCAUCUAUCCCCACCGUCGUACUGGCUAACGUACGCUCUUUGGACAAUAAACUGGACUACAUCCGAUUACUACGUUCAACUCAGAGGACUGUAAGAGACUGUUGUGUAUUUGUAUUCACGGAAGCAUGGCUCAGCGACAGCGUUCCGGACUGCGCCAUUCAGCUCGACCAGCUGACGUGCUAUCGAGCAGACAGAGCUCGCGUCGCAGGAGGAAAAACCCGCGGCGCCGGGCUUUGUGUUUACAUCAAUGACGCGUGGUGCCGCGAUUCUUACUCCCAUCCUCAUGAAGUGCUUCGAACGGCUAGUCAUGCACCACAUCAAGUCUGCC